Long non-coding RNA from Ictalurus punctatus (channel catfish), 1742 nucleotides. The record is from Ensembl. Lineage: Eukaryota; Metazoa; Chordata; Actinopteri; Siluriformes; Ictaluridae.
UAAUAAUAAUAAUAAUAAUAAUAAUAAUAACAUUGGCACUGGCUACAUCUGCGCUCCAUCUAUCCAUGGAGUAGGUACAGCUACAAGGGUUCAACAGUGAUGGACACACACACACAAACACACAAACACACACACACACACACACACACACACACACACACACACAGAGAGUGACGGGUUCAAGACAGAAGAGGUGAGUAGAGAGGUAAUUUAAGGUAAGCAUGGCUCAGGACCAGACUGUCAGAGGAACACUGGAAGAGUUUUUGGCCCUGAAGCAUGGUGACUGUAGAUGUUUGGGUGAGGGAGAGGUGAGAAAUGAAGAGGCACUGAUACGGAGAAGCAAGCCAGAGACAGAGGUGAGAUAUAUAUCACAAGAUGUCAUGUGCAGGUGUAUGCCUGUGUGGGGCCUGCUUGAAGAUUUUAUGGAACUGACACUGAUUAUAGAUCAGACAAGAGGGAACAUGUGAUAAAACACACAGACGCAAACCCAGAGCCAGGAUUCUCGGAAAAGUGAGAUCAUUGUUUUUAAAGAAAAACAGGCGCAUAAGAACAUGAGCUUCACACACACACUCUCACACACACACACGGAUUUCAACAUACUGGCCUGCGAUUUCUGAUAUGACAUUAGUGAUCAAUUCCGAUAACAAUACUUGUUGCAAAACUUUGAAAAAUGAGGGUUAGAUUAGAUAUGAGCGUGGAAUAAGGAGAUAACAUCACCUCACAGGUCAGUGGUAAACAAUGCACAAAGUCCAGUUAGGGCAGUUUUUCUACUGCACAUAUAGAAACAAAACCAAGCCUUGAGAAACUCUUUUGAGAAACAAGGAACACAGUAAAUUCAAGUGCCUAUGAUGCAUUUGACACCAUUUUAAGCCCCUUAUGGCUGAGGUAGGAAAUGCUAACAGGCUAUGCUAAUAACUGAUGUAGAAAAAAAACACUAACACUCUGAGGUAAUCGCUAAUGUAGAAUAUAACACCAACACUGAGGUAAUCUCUAAUGUAGAAUUAAAACACUAACACUGAGGUGAUCUCUAAUGUAGAAUAAAACACUAACACUGAGGUAAUCUCUAAUGUAGAAUAAAACACUAACACUGAGUAAUUCUCUAAUGUAGAAUAAAACACUAACACUCAGGUAAUCACUAAUGAGGUAAUCGCAAAUGUAGAAUAAAACACUAACACUGAGGUAAUCUCUAAUGUAGAAUAAAACACUAACACUCUGAGGUAAUCGCUAAUGUAGAAUAAAACACUAACACACAUAGAAUUAGAAGCUACCACUAUCUAAGCUAAUCACUGAUGUUAGAUGAAGGGCUAACACACUAAACCAAUUCACAGCGAUGGUGAAAAUGAAGACCUAACGCUCAGCUAAUGACUGGUGUAAACUAUGGCGUAGGUCGAAGGCCUAGCGUCCUUAGCUAAUGACAUAUGUAGCUUUGCUAAUCACAUAUGUAGCAUGACGAGCUAAAUAUAGGGUAGACUGCUUAUAUCAAAACAAGCUGUGUGCUACAGACACCAUGUCAUUAUGUCAGCUGUGAACUUCAACACCUUCAUACUUCAUUUUGAGAGAUUUGUUGCAGCCUGAGUGAAGUGGACUCGCCUGAUUCUGUUCACACUGUAUUUCCUUUCACCUCAGCAAAAUUUUGAUCAGAUUGAUCAGAAACAGUAACUCUGACCUCUGGUGUUUAAGUGUGUUUGUACCUGAGCUUGUUAAAGUUUAAGUCUGGUUUCAUGAUUGUGGUGCUAUUUAGC